UACAUCGACUGAAUAUACCUACAUUGCGAUUCAAUAUUCAGUAGGUAUUUUAAGACCGUGAUUGCAAUUUGCAUUUGAGCUCAGCAGUCGAGUAAGUUGUGCCAAAAAUACCAGAAGUGUUGCAUGCCCUGGAUGCAGAAAAACAAGAUUGAGAUGAGUGGAUCAAGAUGUAUCUUUCGUGCAGAUCAAGAUGUAUCAAGAUGUAGGUACCUUUCACUUAAGAUCCAUGCAGGCGCAAGCUCUGGAUGAACUUCUGCGGUGACGUCGGCAUUCUUACAGGAGAACCCAAGAUUCGCUGUACCUGUAUGCAUUUCAAAACUGAAUAAUUGAUAGCAGCAAGUAAAUAUUUGAAGUUGCAGCCAAAUGCUGUGCCUUCUCUGCUGCAAGAACUACAUGUCACCAUUGAAGCAAGGACCAGCUCGACUCCUGCAGUAGGAGUCCAGCCUCGUCCAGUCGUCCCCGCUCGCCAAGACCAGCCGGACUCCUGCAAUAGGGGUCCAGGCUGACCCGUUCGUCCAGUAACCGCCGCUCGUCAGCACCAGCUGGGCUCCUGUAGUAGGGGUCCAGCCUCGUCCAGUCGCCGCCGCUCGCCAAGACCAGCUGGGCUCCUGUAGUAUGGGGCUAGGUUGGCCCGUUCAUCAACCGGUCCCGAAGUCACAUCGCUGUCAGCCAGCCGAACUCAGUACAUAAGUCACCAACCCUGAAUGUUGCCAGCCAAAGUCGGCAGUUUCCUUCGGACAGUCAUCUCACCAGUGUUGUACAGUGUACAAGGUUAGUGACGCAGUUAAAUGCGUCAAUUAAAUGCGAGGACGUGCGCUUGUAUGCAGCGUUUUGUCAUGUUGAGCUGCAUGGGUGUCGAUUUUCACCGAAUUGAGGGUGCCCAGUGCCCACUGCCCGGGCGCAGCAAAUCCGCCGCCGCCUUAGCGGUGACCUUGACCCGCACCGUCUGUUGGGGCUCCAAAGCCAAGCCAGCCGAGCCGGCGGGGAAUUUAGACAGCUUGAGCACCCCCAACCCGGCGGAAAUUGACACCUAUGUUGAGCUGUAUGGAAUGGAUGCGUUUUAGCCUUCCGCCGUGGUGGUAAAUAGCAGCCUACAUGCAGAAUUAGCCAGGCUUAUUGGCGGACUCAUUAUUGGAUUCAUUGUGUCACGUUUGUCGGCACGUGUAAGAUGUGCUUAACUGCCAUUGGCUCUCGGCCUGGCGACUUCUGGGGACCACGUAAUGGGGAUGACAAUUGGGAUCCUGUGCCUUAAGCCGGCCAUUUACGUCCAUGGCUAUAUACCCCCGUACUAGGGCCAGUUAUGACGUAUAUAGGGAUCCACGAGAUCUUUUUUGAUGAAUGGGUUGUGCAGUGUUGAGAUCCGCGUGUAACGCCACUGUUUGGCCAGUCUGCCCUCAAACGCGUCAUCUUUACUCGUAUUUUAUUUACAUGAACGCCUUGCAUGGUCCAGUGGUUUAUAUAGACAUCUUCCUUGCACUAGCUAGUUUUAUGUGGCCAGGUUGAUUGCCUGUCAGCGCGGUCACGCUGUCGUCUUUCGAUUGUUGCGCUUAAAUGCGGCGAGAUGAAUAUAGGAUUUCCUUUGAUGCUA
Molecule: long non-coding RNA, 1588 nt
Filed under: Amphibalanus amphitrite
Lineage: Eukaryota; Metazoa; Arthropoda; Thecostraca; Balanomorpha; Balanidae
Description: uncharacterized LOC122370856
Source: RNAcentral